AGAGAAAUGCAAAUGCUGUCGCCUCCAUAAAGACUCUGGGACUUAUUACUUUUGCAGUGCAGUGCACGAAUUUUGCCAUCCUCAAGACCUGGAAGAGACAGAAGUAGAAAAUUAGUUAAGAUUUGAGAAGCUCCACUUUGACUUACCAGCGAUGAUGGCGCCUGAGCUUGUACACAUAGACAAUGCUGUCGCUCUGCCCCACAGCCAACUUGGUUGAAUCCGGACUAAAAGCUAAUCCUCUGAUGACAUAGGAGUUCUUGCCAUUCGCUGCAUUCGCUGGCUUCGUGCUAAACUUAUCCCUGCGCUCCCCUGCAUCAUCGUAGAGUAGAAUGUGACGAUCUGCGGUGGCAAUUGCCAAUUUCUGCUGAUUAGGGGACCAGGCAAGUCCUGCGAUUCGCUGAAUUUGCUCCUGCAUUGAAAUUCCCAAUGAAUCGCGACGAUCUAUUUGCUUAAACGACUUUAAAUCUCACCUGACCCUCGAGCAAUGUGCGCAAAUAUUUCAAUUGCAUUGUGGAUACGCUAAAAGUUCUACGCUUGUUAUGGCCAACAGUUGUUGUGGCAACCAGCAACCAACAACCAGCAACGCGGCAACGUGCGUAGUUGCAACCCCC
This is a long non-coding RNA of Drosophila albomicans, 611 nucleotides long. RefSeq lists it as uncharacterized. The record is from RefSeq and is a predicted model, not a curated record. NCBI's taxonomy places the organism in Eukaryota, Metazoa, Arthropoda, Insecta, Diptera, Drosophilidae. The transcript has 3 exons.